UGGGGAAUUUUCCGCAAUGGGCGCAAGCCUGACGGAGCAAUACCGCGUGAGGGAGGAAGGCUUUUGGGUUGUAAACCUCUUUUCUCAAGGAAGAAGCACUGACGGUACUUGAGGAAUCAGCAUCGGCUAACUCCGUGCCAGCAGCCGCGGUAAUACGGAGGAUGCAAGCGUUAUCCGGAAUUAUUGGGCGUAAAGCGUCCGCAGGCGGCUUGUCAAGUCUGCUGUUAAAUGUCGGGGCUCAACUCCGAUUCGGCAGUGGAAACUGACAGGCUAGAGUACGGUAGGGGUAGAGGGAAUUCCCAGUGUAGCGGUGAAAUGCGUAGAUAUUGGGAAGAACACCAGUGGCGAAGGCGCUCUACUGGGCCGUAACUGACGCUGAGGGACGAAAGCUAGGGGAGCGAAAGGGAUUAGAUACCCGGGUAGUCC
This 426-nucleotide ribosomal RNA is filed under the name uncultured prokaryote. RNAcentral's name for it is "bacterial SSU rRNA". It matches the Rfam family "Bacterial small subunit ribosomal RNA", at positions 355 to 796 of the family's 1533-position model. The record is from RNAcentral.